GGCAGGUAGACUAGGGGCGGCAGGUAGACUGGAGGCAGGUAGACUAGGAGAAGGUAUACAAGGGGCAGGUAGACUGGAGGAAGGUAGACUGGAGGCAGGUAGACUAGGAGAAGGUAGACUAGGAGAAGGUAUACAAGGGGCAGGUAGACUGGAGGAAGGUAGACUGGAGACAGGUAGACUAGGAGAAGGUAGACUAGGAGAAGGUAUACAAGGGGCAGGUAGACUAGGGGCAGGUAGACUAGGGGCGGCAGGUAGACUGGAGGCAGGUAGACUAGGAGAAGGUAUACAAGGGGAAGGUAGUUUAGGGGCGGCAGGUAGACUGGAGGCAGGUAGACUAGGAGAAGGUAUACACGGGGCAGGUAGACUAGGAGAAGGUAGACUAGGAGAAGGUAGACACGGGGCAGGUAGACUAGGAGAAGGUAGACUAGGAGAAGGUAUACACGGGGCAGGUAGACUAGGAGAAGGUAUACACGGGGCAGGUAGACUAGGAGAAGUUAGACUAGGAGAAGGUAUACACGGGGCAGGUAGACUAGGAGAAGGUAUACACGGGGCAGGUAGACUAGGGGCGGCAGGUAGACUAGGGGCGACAGGUAGACUGGAGGCAGGUAGCCUAGGAGAAGGUAGAUUAGGAGAAGGUAUACACGGGGCAGGUAGACAAGGAGAAGGUAUACACGGGGCAGAUAGACUAGGGGCGGCAGGUAGACUAGGGGCGGCAGGUAGACUGGAGGCAGGUAGACUAGGAGAAGGUAGACUAGGAGAAGAUAUACACGGGGCAGGUAGACUAGGGGCAGGUAGACUAGGGGCGGCAGGUAGACUAGAGGCAGGUAGACUAGGAGAAGGUAUACAAGGGGCAGGUAGACUAGGGGCGGCAGGUAGACUGGAGGCAGGUAGACUGGAGGCAGGUAGACUAGAGGAGGCAGGUAGACUAGGAGAAGGUAGACUAGGAGAAGGUAUACAAGGGGCAGGUAGACUAGGGGUGGCAGGUAGACUAGAGGCAGGUAGUCUAGUAGAAGGUAUACAAGGGGCAGGUAGACUAGGGAGGCAGGUAGACUGGAGGCAGGUAGACUGGAGGCAGGUAGACUGGAGGCAGGUAGACUAGGGGUGGCAAGUAGACUGGAGACAGGUAGACUAGGAGAAGGUAGACUAGGAGAAGGUAUACAACGGGCAGGUAGACAAGGAGAAGGUAUACAAGGGGCAGGUAGACUGGAGGCAGGUAGACUGGAGGCAGGUAGACUAGAGGAGGCAGGUAGACUAGGAGAAGGUAGACUAGGAG
Molecule: long non-coding RNA, 1273 nt
Organism: Oncorhynchus tshawytscha (Chinook salmon)
Lineage: Eukaryota; Metazoa; Chordata; Actinopteri; Salmoniformes; Salmonidae
Source: Ensembl